This is a long non-coding RNA of Xiphias gladius (swordfish), 2045 nucleotides long. RefSeq lists it as uncharacterized. The record is from RefSeq and is a predicted model, not a curated record. Lineage: Eukaryota; Metazoa; Chordata; Actinopteri; Istiophoriformes; Xiphiidae. The transcript has 4 exons.
CCGGUUUUUAGACUUUGACCGAAACAUUGAUCAUCAUCUGGUAUAUAUCUGAUCGAUGAGUAUCAGUGGACACUGCUGUGUUCGUGUUUUCAGAAUCAUCGCAUCGAGUGUUUGCGGUCCCUUCGCAACGGAAGCCCGGUUUCCUUCCUGUCAGGUAACCCGAGGACCGCAGAGCUGUGACCCGCGGCGGCUCGAACAAUACGAGGCCGUGCCGCUAGUCCGGGUCCCGCUGUUCGCCGGUCGGCUCGGGGACUUCGCCCGCGCUGCCGUCGUCCUCGACUUCAACUGACGCCGACGAGCUGACGGGGGCGCCGCACGCCGUCAUCAAGCGGCCGGGUAAAAGCCCCGACUUCCUACUUCUUCUUGUUUAGUGAAAAGGUUUUACUGAUGAAUGCUGCUGUAGCUCCGCCCUACUUCGUGUGACCCGUUUCAGUUAAUCUGUCAGCUGAGCAGCAGCUGAGUCCAAAGGAAAAUUUGCAGAAUCCACAGUUGACACAAAAAUUUAAACAAAAAGGUAAGUGAGAAAAUUAUAGAGACAAUUAAGACAAAAAACAAAUGACCAACAGAAUUAAUACAGUUUAAAAACAAAGAUCAUCAGAUGCUAUUUAAGCAAUGUAGCGUAAUAAAACAUUGAAAAACAUUUCAGAAAAUUAAACUUUAAAAAGUAGUAAAAACUUAAAAUAUACAACAAAAGCUAACUUAGUUACUAAUUUUCAAAAAUUUUGCCCUAAACAAAAUUUUAAUUCAAAGGAACUGACUUAUAAAUUAAACUUAUUUAAAAACAUUUUAAGGAACCAGUCUGUUAUCACACAGUGCAGUUAGUUUCACAACUCACAGUUUCUACAAAGACGUUCAAAACAUUUCACUAAAAAAACAAUAAAAAACAAAAAAAACAGAAAAAAAAAAAAAAAUCAGCAUUUGAACAUUUAUCAGACAAGUUUAAAAAAUAAACCGUAGACUGAGUUUUUCAAAUUAACGACCUGCUCGCUGGUUGAAGUCAGGUGGACCGUCGGCUCGUGGCCGCUUCCUGCCAUGGAGGUCGUACUCUUCAGGUCGACGCCUACGUAAACAAGUUGACAAGUAAGACACACACAUGCACACAAAUACACACUCACACCCACAUUAAUACACACUAAAAAAAACUCAGUCAGGGCAAAUUUCAAACAGAAGAAUCUGAAAAAAACAAAUCUGUUCCAGAGUUUGUUUUUCCAAUUCUAAAUAUGUGACAGAUUUACACUGAACUCCAAACUAAAAAUUAUCUGAAGUGAUGUUUGAUGAAGGUUCUGACUCGUCCACCGGACGGACACUUAAUGGACAAAUGUGUGCUACCAACAUCUGCCAGUCCUCCUGUCUACUGGUCCUCCUGCCAGUCUUGCUGUCUGCUAGUCCUCCUGCCAGUCUUGCUGUCUGCUAGUCCUCCUGCCAGUCUUGCUGUCUGCUAGUCCUCCUGCCAGUCUUGCUGUCUGCUAGUCCUCCUGCCAGUCUUGCUGUCUGCUAGUCCUCCUGCCAGUCUUACUGUCUGCUAGUCCUCCUGUUGUUUACUAGUGCUGCUGUCUGCUAGUCAUGCUCUUGUCUAAAAGCACUCCUGCUGUCUCCAAUCUACUAGUUUUUACUUUUCCUGUUUUCUUUGUCUGAACCAAGGCUCUGAGGGUUGAGGGAGUCGUACACUGUAAUGCCCUCUGACACUAAUCUGUGAUUCGGUUCUAUACAAAUUUAGCUAACAACUGUUUGUGUUCUCACAAAUGUUCCACUCAAUGUGUUCUGUUGUAAACAAUAGCUCACUGUUUCACUGUUCGAUGGACAAAAACAGCAUUUUGACAAAUUUUGCUUCAUACACACAAUUAAAAAAAACAAACAAAGAAGAAGAAGCCUCUGAAAGGAACAACAUACCGCUUCUGUUGUAUAUGUGGGAGGGGCUGUUUGUUUGUGUCAACAACACCUUUGAUUAUAAAAAGCAGUUUUUCUCCUCAUCAGUCCAUGUUAAAGGCUUUUUUAAAACACCCUCUUAUUUUGAAAGGGUGUGGGGGGGGGUGAUGAUGAUGAUG